GCCGGCCGCCGAGCACUUCCGGGUGAGCCCGCUGGCAACUGGGGCGUCGUGCCCGCUGAAGCUAGGGCGGUUUGGUUGGUCCCCGACUUCCACUGGGCGGGUAUGGUAACCGAAUUUCUUAGUGUCUGAGAAGAUGCUGUGGGUUCAGUUGGAAAGUUGCCUCAGGUGGCUGUGUUAAACAUUUUAUUUUAAUUUCUAGUCUAAUUCUAGGAAGAAAGGGUCCUCAAGUCACUCCCCGAGAGUCAGAGACUGGCAUGAACCCCCUGAUGUUGCGGGGUCGGUGAGCCGAGGAGUGGAAAGAAAGAUUUUCUUGGACUCUCAAGCUGGAGGGAUGAGUUGGUCCAGAGAUGCUCGUGGCGGAGUGAGUGCCCACUGGACCGUGUUGGUGACCUCCUUUUGGACCUGCCUGCCAAUUUCGGCCUUUGAGCGGCCGUUUUCAAGAAAUUAAUUUUAAAAAUGUAAUUGACGCAUUAAAGGAAGGAAAAAGAAGAGGCCCAGGAGACUCAUGAUGUAAUGUUUAGAAAAGAACAGGAGAAAAUGUCUGGAGAGAAAAAGAGCCAAUCCUAGGCCUGUGUGUGGAAACAGCUAGAGAGAUGGGACUUAACAGAAACCAGUAGAAGAAAAACAAACAUAUAAAAGCCUGCGAUGACAUUUUUAGCUUUUCUAUGGGAAGAAAUAGAUAUAAAAUUGAUGGUAUUACUAUUUAUUAUUAUUGCAUUUUGCUUUUGAAGGAGAAGUGACUGUAUGGUUAUCAAAAUCCAUCAGAAAGUAAAAAAUAAAAAUGGCUAUGCACCCUGUGCAGGUUACACACAAUUUUGCUUAUGAUGAAGACAUCCAAUGAAGAUCCCUCCAGUACAUAGUUGUAUAUUUUAGUGGUGGGUCCUUCUAGUUGUGGCAUGUGGGAUGCUGCCUCAGCGUGGCCUGAUGAGCGGUGCCGUGUCUGUGCCCAGGAUCUGACUGGUGAAACUCUGGGCUGCCGAAGCGGAGCAUGCAGACUUAACCACUCAGCCACGGGGCCGGCCCCAGUUUGUGUAUUUUAAUGAUUUACCAUUAAAAGGACCAGUUUACAAGAAGAAAAUUAACACCAGCACAGAUGGAUUAAUUUUACCCCUUAAAUAGGGUUUUUUUUUUGCCAUAUGGAUAAUCAUGCACAAACAGCAUCUUUUUCUUCAGUCUGUAAUAGUUCUACCAAAAGGGAAGUCUUAACAGGAACAAUAUGUAUUAAUAAAGAACACAAACACAGAAUUACUAAAUAUUUUGAUUUACAUUCUUGGCUCCACAUUGCUGCAUUGGGAGAGCAUUUAUUAUCUGAGACUAUCCCUCUGUUCUGAGGGAAUAAGAAAUAGUAUACCUAAGGAUGGCUCUCUUUGUAGCCAGGAAAAGGUAGAUUACCAUUCUAG
RNAcentral lists this long non-coding RNA (1400 nucleotides) under Equus asinus (donkey). RNAcentral describes it as "lncRNA (ENSEASG00005033804.1)". The record is from RNAcentral. Lineage: Eukaryota; Metazoa; Chordata; Mammalia; Perissodactyla; Equidae.